RNAcentral lists this ribosomal RNA (1057 nucleotides) under uncultured eukaryote. Its description in RNAcentral is "bacterial SSU rRNA". It matches the Rfam family "Eukaryotic small subunit ribosomal RNA", at positions 582 to 1455 of the family's 1831-position model. The record is from RNAcentral.
AUUCCAGCACCAAUAGCGUAUAUUAAUGCUGCUGCUGUUAAAAAGCUCGUAGUUGGAUCAAGAGUCGGACAGUGCACGGUGGCCCUGUUUGUCAUAGUGGUUCCGAUCACUGUGACGGCAGCGGAUCAACCCCGUGCGCCAAACUGUCCGCUCUAACAGACCGAAACGGUUCCCUGUGAGUAGGCUCCUUAAUUGGGGCUGAAAGCGCUUACGCAUCAACCAUAUGCAUACGGGACGUCGGUCAAUGUUACUGUGAACAAACCAGCGUGUCCAAAACAGGCUUUCGCCUGAAUGUUCGAGCAUGGAAUAACAAGGGAUCGAUUCUCUCGGUUCUUUUUGUUGGUUUUUAACCCGAGAAGGAGUAAUUCAGUCCACGGUGUCUGAGUUGGGGUUUCCCUUCACCUCGGUGGAGGCCCCAAUUAGGCCGUGUACUUACGGGAUAAAUAGGGACUGACGGGGUCGUACGUACUUCCACGUCAGAGGUGAAAUUCUUAGAUCGUGGGAAGACGAACUUCUGCGAAAGCAUUCGACAAGAAUGUCUUCAUUAAUCAAGAACGAGAGUGUGGGGAUCGAAGAUGAUCAGAUACCGUCGUAGUCCACUACUGUAAACAAUGCCGUCUCAGGAUUGAGAAGUGAACAGAAUGACUUUCACAGCACUAACCCCUGAAACGAGAAAUCAAAGAUUAUGGGUUCAGGGGGGAGUACAUUCGCAAGGCUGAAACUUAAAGGAAUUGACGGAAUGACACCACAAGGCGUGGAGUAUGCGGCUUAAUUUGACUCAACACGGGGAAUUUUACUAGGUCAGGACAAUGUAAGGAUUGACAGAUUGAGAGCUCUUUCUCGAUCCAUUGUGUGGUGGUGCAUGGCCGCUCCUGGUUGGUGGAGUGAUUUGUCUGGUUGAUUCCGUUAACGAACGAGAUCUCGACCCUUAAAUAGGUGCCCAUGUCGAUUGUAGUUUCGCCUCCGCUCGCUUGCGAGAUUGGAGCGGGACGAGACUGUGGGAAUACUUCUUAGGGGGACUGUGUGCGUCUCUAGCACGCGGAAGAGCGAGCCAAUA